AUCUCGACUGGUGGGACUCGCUGUGGAAAGUGCACAGAGGGACAUAUGCUGAAGCUUCAAGGUCAGACCCAGGAAGGUGAAGCCGUGUGAGCUUCUUGCCCUGAAGACAGUCUGCUCCAAGGGAGAGGAGA
Chelonoidis abingdonii (Abingdon island giant tortoise) is the source of this 131-nucleotide non-coding RNA. NCBI's taxonomy places the organism in Eukaryota, Metazoa, Chordata, Testudines, Testudinidae. The record is from RefSeq and is a predicted model, not a curated record.